Molecule: ribosomal RNA, 447 nt
Filed under: uncultured bacterium
Lineage: Bacteria
Description: bacterial SSU rRNA
Rfam family: Bacterial small subunit ribosomal RNA
Source: RNAcentral
GAUAAACGCUGGCGGCGUGCUUCAGGCAUGCAAGUCGAACGGACCUUCGGGUCAGUGGCGGACGGGUGAGUAACACGUAAGCAACCUGCCCAGAAGUGGGGAACAACUUGCCGAAAGGCGAGCUAAUACCGCAUGUGAUGGCAUUUCUACGGGAGUGUCAUUAAAGGCUUCGGUCGCUUCUGGAGGGGCUUGCGCUCGAUUAGCUUGUUGGUGGGGUAACGGCCUACCAAGGCAACGAUCGAUAGCUGGUCUGAGAGGACGGUCAGCCACACGGGGACUGAGAUACGGCCCCGACUCCUACGGGAGGCAGCGGCUAGGAAUCUUGGGAAUGGGCGAAAGCCUGACCCAGCAACGCCGCGUGGGCGAUGAAGGCCUUCGGGUCGUAAAGCCCUUUUGUGGAGGAAGAUGAUGACGGUACCCCACGAAUAAGCCACGGCUAACUACGUG